UACAGAGGGGGCAAGCGUUAUUCGGAAUUAUGGGGCGUAAAGGGCGCGUAGGCGGCUUUUCAAGUGACGGGUGAAAUCCCUCGGCUUAACCGAGGAACUGCCUGUCAGACUGGAAGGCUUGAGACCGGGAGAGGUGAGUGGAAUUCCCAGUGUAGCGGUGAAAUGCGUAGAUAUUGGGAGGAACACCAGUGGCGAAGGCGGCUCACUGGACCGGAACUGACGCUGAGGCGCGAAAGCGUGGGGAGCAAACAGG
RNAcentral lists this ribosomal RNA (253 nucleotides) under uncultured bacterium. RNAcentral describes it as "partial 16S ribosomal RNA". It matches the Rfam family "Bacterial small subunit ribosomal RNA", at positions 524 to 776 of the family's 1533-position model. The record is from RNAcentral.